Long non-coding RNA from Drosophila biarmipes, 597 nucleotides. RefSeq lists it as uncharacterized. The transcript has 3 exons. The record is from RefSeq and is a predicted model, not a curated record. NCBI's taxonomy places the organism in Eukaryota, Metazoa, Arthropoda, Insecta, Diptera, Drosophilidae.
AAUACACGGAUUUAUUUGUCAGGAACUUGUUUUGGAUUUUUAAGUUAGUCAGGAUAGUGUGAAAUAAAUGUUUGCCGAUGCCCGAAGAACAUCAUAAGCAAACCAGUGCGACUUGAAAAGAAUUUCGCCUUCCGGAAAUGGUCGUGCUGCAAUUGAGAAAAUAUUUGAGAUUGUGACUGCCUAAUUAACCUCUUGAAAACUCACGUCAAAAGGGCACGAAUGGUUCAUAUUGGAAUGGCUUCUGAAAAAUUCGUACAUAUAGGCAUCCGCAGUAAUGUUGUAGAGGAAUGGCUUAUAGCCACUGGAUUUUUUAUGGAGUGCAAAGUUUAUCUGGAAGGACGAGAGUUUCUUUGGAGAAGUUACUUCAAAAACAUUUUUAUACACGCACUUUGGCCCUGGUGAUGGGAAUUGUAUAAAGCUUCACUUUCACGGUAAACUCCAAUUUGGAAGAGAUCUAAAAUACAGUUUCAAUGCUUAGGGGUUAAAAUAUAAUACAGUAGCCCUUACUGUCCUGAAGACACUAAGGAGCAAAAUAACCUGCACUGCGUUAAUAUAACCGAAGCACAUUUUUGAGGUGGGUAUAUGAAAUAAACUGAA